AUUGAACGCUGGCGGCAUGCUUUACACAUGCAAGUCGAACGGCAGCACAGGGAGCUUGCUCCCGGGUGGCGAGUGGCGCACGGGUGAGUAAUACAUCGGAACGUGUCCUGUUGUGGGGGAUAACUGCUCGAAAGGGUGGCUAAUACCGCAUGAGACCUGAGGGUGAAAGCGGGGGAUCGCAAGACCUCGCGCAAUUGGAGCGGCCGAUGCCCGAUUAGCUAGUUGGUGAGGUAAAGGCUCACCAAGGCGACGAUCGGUAGCUGGUCUGAGAGGACGACCAGCCACACUGGGACUGAGACACGGCCCAGACUCCUACGGGAGGCAGCAGUGGGGAAUUUUUGGGACAAUGGGGGGCAACCCUGAUCCAGCCAUGCCGCGUGCAGGAUGAAGGCCUUC
RNAcentral lists this ribosomal RNA (396 nucleotides) under uncultured bacterium. RNAcentral describes it as "bacterial SSU rRNA". It matches the Rfam family "Bacterial small subunit ribosomal RNA", at positions 29 to 419 of the family's 1533-position model. The record is from RNAcentral.